Long non-coding RNA from Rhipicephalus sanguineus (brown dog tick), 294 nucleotides. RefSeq lists it as uncharacterized. The transcript has 2 exons. Lineage: Eukaryota; Metazoa; Arthropoda; Arachnida; Ixodida; Ixodidae. The record is from RefSeq and is a predicted model, not a curated record.
GAGCAACACGGUAGGAUGACUAAAGGAUGCAACACUUCUGGACGGGAAUUACAUGUUCAAGAAUUGUUUUGAAAUGUACAAGGAAGAUAUUGGCAUUCUCCUUCCGCCAUCAGCUGUUCAACAUCUGCGAGCUGCAAAGGCUCUCCUGUAUGACAAGGAAGCAGUAGACGCGUCAUUCGCAAUGCUCAUUUUAUGUGCUUCCAAGGGAUGCGGCCAAAGGACGACCUGCGGAUGUGCGAGUCACGUUUAUGGGAGCUGCAAAAAAGAAUUAAAGUGUAUCCCCAGUGUUUGUUA